This 492-nucleotide ribosomal RNA is filed under the name uncultured bacterium. Its description in RNAcentral is "partial 16S ribosomal RNA". It matches the Rfam family "Bacterial small subunit ribosomal RNA", at positions 29 to 507 of the family's 1533-position model. The record is from RNAcentral.
AGUGAACGCUGGCGGUAGGCCUAACACAUGCAAGUCGAACGGCAGCACAGUAAGAGCUUGCUCUUACGGGUGUCGAGUGGCGGACGGGUGAGGAAUACAUCGGAAUCUACUUUUUCGUGGGGGAUAACGUAGGGAAACUUACGCUAAUACCGCAUACGACCUACGGGUGAAAGCAGGGGAUCUUCGGACCUUGCGCGAUUGAAUGAGCCGAUGUCGGAUUAGCUAGUUGGCGGGGUAAAGGCCCACCAAGGCGGCGAUCCGUAGCUGGUCUGAGAGCAUGAUUAGCCACACUGGAACUGAGACACGGUCCAGACUCCUACGGGAGGCAGCAGUGGGGAAUAUUGGACAAUGGGCGCGAGCCUGAUCCAGCCAUACCGCGUGGGUGAAGAAGGCCUUCGGGUUGUAAAGCCCUUUUGUUGGGAAAGAAAAGCAGCAGGUUAAUACCCCGAUGUUCUGACGGUACCCAAAGAAUAAGCACCGGCUAACUUCGUG